UACGUAGGGGGCAAGCGUUGUCCGGAAUUAUUGGGCGUAAAGGGCGCGUAGGCGGAGAUAUGUGUCAGCUGUGAAAACUACAGGCUUAACUUGUAACCUGCAGCUGAAACUGUAUCCCUUGAGUGCAGGAGAGGAAAGCGGAAUUCCCAGUGUAGCGGUGGAAUGCGUAGAUAUUGGGAGGAACACCAGUGGCGAAGGCGGCUUUCUGGACUGUAACUGACGCUGAGGCGCGAGAGCGUGGGGAG
RNAcentral lists this ribosomal RNA (245 nucleotides) under uncultured Selenomonadales bacterium. RNAcentral's name for it is "partial 16S ribosomal RNA". It matches the Rfam family "Bacterial small subunit ribosomal RNA", at positions 524 to 768 of the family's 1533-position model. Lineage: Bacteria; Bacillati; Bacillota; Negativicutes; Selenomonadales. The record is from RNAcentral.